GGGAAGCAAAUGUUCCUUCUUGGUUGAGAAGGAACAGCGUGCAUGGCUGCCGGCUUUACACCCAUAAUUUUUUUUUUUUUUUGAGAUGACGAACUAUAGCGAGAACGCCGAGGAUCGCUGCUUUGAUACCAAAUGGUAAGACCCUAAAGUCUUAUCGUCGCUCUGAUACCAAAUGAUAAGACCCUAAAGUCUUAAGGUAAAAAAGAAGAAGAGAAAGGGAUGAUCACUUCGAGGGGAUCGGCCUCCUAGGGUUUAUCAAAAGACAUAAUAGUAUUUUUCAUAGAUAAUUGAAAAGAAGCAGUUACAUCACUAUUUAUAGAGUUCCAC
This 327-nucleotide long non-coding RNA is filed under the name Musa acuminata (dwarf banana). Its description in RNAcentral is "long non-coding RNA (MACU_LNC003987)". The record is from RNAcentral. Lineage: Eukaryota; Viridiplantae; Streptophyta; Magnoliopsida; Zingiberales; Musaceae.